This is a small nuclear RNA of Nymphaea colorata (pocket water lily), 108 nucleotides long. The record is from RefSeq and is a predicted model, not a curated record. Lineage: Eukaryota; Viridiplantae; Streptophyta; Magnoliopsida; Nymphaeales; Nymphaeaceae.
GUUUUCUUCUUUUUGGAGACAUUCUACAAGACUGAAACAACACCCGGCAGAUUAGCAUGGCCUCUGCCCAAGGAUGACAUGUUCUGUUGGGUUACAGAAAGUAUAUGA